UGGCUGCAGUAAGGAAUAUUGGGCAAUGGGCGCAAGCCUGACCCAGCCAUGCCGCGUGCAGGAUGACAGCCCUACGGGUUGUAAACUGCUUUUGUACGGGAAGAACCCCCCGAUCGUGAUCGGGGCUGACGGUACCGUAAGAAUAAGCAUCGGCUAACUCCGUGCCAGCAGCCGCGGUAAUACGGAGGAUGCAAGCGUUAUCCGGAUUCAUUGGGUUUAAAGGGUGCGCAGGCGGAAUGGUAAGUCAGUGGUGAAAUCCUACAGCUCAACUGUAGAACUGCCAUUGAUACUGCCACUCUAGAGUAUAGUUGAGGUGGGCGGAAUGUAGCAUGUAGCGGUGAAAUGCUUAGAUAUGCUACAGAACACCAAUAGCGAAGGCAGCUCGCCAAACUAUAACUGACGCUCAUGCACGAAAGCGUGGGGAUCAAACAGGAUUAGAUACCCUGGUAGUC
This 452-nucleotide ribosomal RNA is filed under the name uncultured Sphingobacteriales bacterium. Its description in RNAcentral is "bacterial SSU rRNA". It matches the Rfam family "Bacterial small subunit ribosomal RNA", at positions 346 to 795 of the family's 1533-position model. Lineage: Bacteria; Pseudomonadati; Bacteroidota; Sphingobacteriia; Sphingobacteriales. The record is from RNAcentral.